Triticum aestivum (bread wheat) is the source of this 678-nucleotide long non-coding RNA. RefSeq lists it as uncharacterized. The transcript is spliced from 2 exons. Lineage: Eukaryota; Viridiplantae; Streptophyta; Magnoliopsida; Poales; Poaceae. The record is from RefSeq and is a predicted model, not a curated record.
UGGCUGCUUUCCUCUUCCUUACCUCUACAGUGGUGCUAACCUAACGCCCGGCAAGACAGCCGCCGGCCGUCGAAACGCACGCCGCCGCACGCCCUCUCUCUCCGGUCAAGACGCGCACGCCGCACCGCCGUCCCCCGUUGAUAAGGUUCAGCUGUGGAUGACGGACCAGAUGAAUGCUGCGGCAAGUCUUAAUCCAAGAGCGAGAGCCACCCUGGUUCUCGCUGGGGAAUCGUUCACAGUCAGCUCCGAGUCCGGUACCCUGUCGGAGCAGCUGGCGGCAAAUGAGGGAGAGGAGCAUGGUGAUACUCAAGGAGUACAUUACCAAGCACAACGCUCCGAACGAUGUCCCUGAUGAAUCCAUCGAGGGCUCAUCUGAUGAGGAGGGUGAAGCACUUGCCAAAACCCCGCCAAAGAAAUCUAAGAAGAAGUGAUCGUCCUAAAUCUCAUCAUAUUUAUCGUGCUCUUUCUUAGUCUCCUCUUGCAAAGAUCAGAGAACAUGCUGUCAUCACUUGCUACUAUUGCCCUGACACGAAAAAGAUCAAGUUAUCGUUAGGCACUAACUGCUUGUUUAUGGAAUUGUUAUCUGAAGCUAUGUGCAGGGGUAGUUUGCACCUUUCUGUACAAAUCGUCUGUUAGAUGUUUUGCUUUGGAGGGGAAUAUACGAGCUUCAGCACAAAA